RNAcentral lists this transfer RNA (65 nucleotides) under Actinopolymorpha pittospori. RNAcentral describes it as "tRNA-Ser". Lineage: Bacteria; Bacillati; Actinomycetota; Actinomycetes; Propionibacteriales; Actinopolymorphaceae. The record is from RNAcentral.
GCGUGGUCGGUGUUGGGAGGGUUCUCAUAAUCCCUGGGUCGCGGGUUCGAGUCCCGCCCGCCGCG